AGCGAACGCUGGCGGUAGGCCUAACACAUGCAAGUCGAACGGCAGCACAGUAAGAGCUUGCUCUUACGGGUGGCGAGUGGCGGAAGGGAGAGGAAUACAUCGGAAUCUACUUUUUCGUGGGGGAUAACGUAGGGAAACUUACGCUAAUACCGCAUACGACCUACGGGUGAAAGCAGGGGAUCUUCGGACCUUGCGCGGUUGAAUGAGCCGAUGUCGGAUUAGCUAGUUGGCGGGGUAAAGGCCCACCAGGGCGACGAUCCGUAGCUGGUGUGAGAGAAUGGUCGGCCACCUGGGAAGUGAGCCACGGUCCUGACUCCUACGGGAGGGAGCAGUGUGGUAUAGUGGACAAUGGGCGCGAGUCUGAUCCAGCGGGACCGCGUGGGUUAAGGAGGCCUUCCGGGUGUAAAGCCGUCUUGUGGGGAGAGAAAAGCAGCAGGUUGAGACCAAGCUGUACUGACGGUACCCAAAGAAUAAGCACCGGCUAACUUCGUG
RNAcentral lists this ribosomal RNA (492 nucleotides) under uncultured bacterium. RNAcentral's name for it is "partial 16S ribosomal RNA". It matches the Rfam family "Bacterial small subunit ribosomal RNA", at positions 30 to 507 of the family's 1533-position model. The record is from RNAcentral.